CCGCACUGGCCGCGUCAGCAUUAUCUACACAGACGCUGAACAGAUUGCCCAGUCAACACUGCGGGGCCGCCAUCCUUGAAACGUUUAAAGACGCGGGAUCGAAAGUUCAUGACAACUCUAAGCUGAUCGGCGGCACUUUUGUUGCUGGAGCAGCUUUUUCAGCAACCUCUGCCGGUGCCUAUCUUUUGUGGAAAAAGGUCAUUCAACCGUACGCUAUUCCCGCCUGUCAGAAAUGGCGGGAUCGGUCACGUAACAGUGGUCCCGCUGGCUAUAUUCCGGUAGGGGUCGGCUCUGAAUCGUCAGACGAUGGCGUGGAUGACGUCGAUUACGAUGGUGAUGAUGAAAAUGAGAAGGAAGAGAGAAGUGGAUGCUGUAUCUUGUGAGGGGAAAAAGUGAAACUGAUUUUUGUGGAACAG
This 416-nucleotide long non-coding RNA is filed under the name Haliotis rufescens (red abalone). Its description in RNAcentral is "uncharacterized LOC124138994, transcript variant X1". The record is from RNAcentral. Lineage: Eukaryota; Metazoa; Mollusca; Gastropoda; Lepetellida; Haliotidae.